UCGUAACAAGGUUUCCGUAGGUGAACCUGCGGAAGGAUCAUUACCGAGUGAGGGCCCUCUGGGUCCAACCUCCCACCCGUGUUUAUUUUACCUUGUUGCUUCGGCGGGCCCGCCUUUACUGGCCGCCGGGGGGCUCACGCCCCCGGGCCCGCGCCCGCCGAAGACACCCUCGAACUCUGUCUGAAGAUUGAAGUCUGAGUGAAAAUAUAAAUUAUUUAAAACUUUCAACAACGGAUCUCUUGGUUCCGGCAUCGAUGAAGAACGCAGCGAAAUGCGAUACGUAAUGUGAAUUGCAAAUUCAGUGAAUCAUCGAGUCUUUGAACGCACAUUGCGCCCCCUGGUAUUCCGGGGGGCAUGCCUGUCCGAGCGUCAUUGCUGCCCUCAAGCCCGGCUUGUGUGUUGGGCCCCGUCCUCCGAUUCCGGGGGACGGGCCCGAAAGGCAGCGGCGGCACCGCGUCCGGUCCUCGAGCGUAUGGGGCUUUGUCACCCGCUCUGUAGGCCCGGCCGGCGCUUGCCGAUCAACCCAAAUUUUUAUCCAGGUUGACCUCGGAUCAGGUAGGGAUACCCGCUGAACUUAAGCAUAUCAAUAA
Molecule: unclassified non-coding RNA, 590 nt
Filed under: Penicillium verrucosum
Lineage: Eukaryota; Fungi; Ascomycota; Eurotiomycetes; Eurotiales; Aspergillaceae
Description: sequence contains 18S rRNA gene, ITS1, 5.8S rRNA gene, ITS2, 28S rRNA gene
Rfam family: 5.8S ribosomal RNA (bases 220-372)
Source: RNAcentral